AUGACCAGGGAUAACCUCAGGAAAAGACAGAUUAUUAAGCCGCUUGAGUGUGUGUUCUGCUCUGAGGCUGAAACAUGCUCGCAUUUGUUUUUUGACCGUGUGGUCUCUAGACAGAUCUGGCCUCUGGUCUCAAAUCACUUCGGGGUGGAUAUUGGAACUGAUUUUGAAUCAGUGGUUAGACUCUGGAUUGCUAACAAAAAACACUCUGCUCUCAACACGGCCAAUGCAGCUGUACUUUGGUGUAUUUGGAAAUAUAGAAACUCUAUGAUUUUCAAUACCACCAUGUGGACAUCCAUUAAGCAGGUGAUGAGGCUGAUUCUAAAAACCAUCAAGAACUGGGUGAUCCUGUCUUCGGAUGGGGUGGCAGAAAGGCUGGAGGCCUUCAUGACACACCUGGCGACCGAUCUGAGACAACCACUGAUGAUCGGUGGCUGA
RNAcentral lists this ribosomal RNA (435 nucleotides) under Triticum aestivum (bread wheat). Its description in RNAcentral is "partial small subunit ribosomal RNA". The record is from RNAcentral. Lineage: Eukaryota; Viridiplantae; Streptophyta; Magnoliopsida; Poales; Poaceae.